Long non-coding RNA from Raphanus sativus (radish), 1166 nucleotides. RefSeq lists it as uncharacterized. The transcript has 2 exons. NCBI's taxonomy places the organism in Eukaryota, Viridiplantae, Streptophyta, Magnoliopsida, Brassicales, Brassicaceae. The record is from RefSeq and is a predicted model, not a curated record.
UGUAAUAACACCGCCAAAAUGAACUUCACAUCUUUGUGUCUAUAAUCAAACACUAGGCUCCAAAACGAGUGGUCCUUUACUUCGGUUUUGGUUUUCUUGUUUUGUGAAAACUAAAUUCGAUUAAUAACCCUAUUUUUACUAGAGAAUCUCUUUUUACUAUUAAAUUUUCCUUUUCUUCAAAGAAAGUGAGUCUCAAAGUUCGAAUCUCGAUGUGUUGACGAAAUGAUUAAAGUUCCAUGAAUUUUCUCACAAACCUGAACAAGUUACUGUCAAGAAUAUUUCAGAGUAUCGUUACCGUUCUGAUUUAAAAAAUUUACGUCCAUCCGCAAAAAGCUAUACAUCUAAUCUUAUCCCAAGAGUAUUUAAUACAAAUAACUCAUUAUGAUGACCAAAAAAAAUCAUUACCUGUUUACACUGAGGAGCUUCGCAUUGAACAGUGCGAGAAGAGCUAGACUUGGAAGGGUCAAAGAGAACCGAGGAAGCACAGCCAAGGCAACCAGAACAAGGAACCCAAGUAACGUCAUUGCUAGUGUCAAGAGCCACGAGCAUGGGCUGAGCCGGUGUCCCAAUGUUAGCCCUCACGAUGUAAGUCGGGCUCUGAACGAUGGAACGUCCCGAGGCGAUUGGGACCCAAGGUUUCUUACCAACGGCGAGGCUUGACAAGUACUGGAGACGAGCAUUGUCUUUAAUAAGUGUGCUUUCCCAUGAGACAGUUUUUGGUUGUUUGUAUGGAGAGCAAGGACUAUCAAUGUGGAACACUCUUAGAUCUGAGGGAUGGCCUCGUGGGUUAUUUCCAUUGCAGUUUAGUGAUUCAGAGUUCAAGAGUAAGAGAGAGAUAAAUAAAAAGAGGAGUUGGAUUCUCAUUUUGUUAGAUCUUGAUUAAUUUGGUCUUUGUGGGUUUUAGUGUUUGUGGCUUGUGAGUGUGUGUGGGUUUAUAUAGUGAAUGAUGCAUGAGUGUUUAGGAAGUAAUAAGAAUUAAAAAAUGAAGAGUGGUUUUACUUGAGAGAACAGACUGUAUCCCAUCUCCUUUUUUCUUUCUGAUUCUUUUGGGUCCACUCUAGGAUCUCAUACUCAAGGAGUUGUAAUUUGUGGUUUGCUUUGUGUAUUAUUCAUUUGUUUUGUACACUGAUAAUUUAAUACUAGUUGGGUUUCUAUAAUACCUUAAA